RNAcentral lists this ribosomal RNA (253 nucleotides) under uncultured bacterium. RNAcentral describes it as "partial 16S ribosomal RNA". It matches the Rfam family "Bacterial small subunit ribosomal RNA", at positions 524 to 776 of the family's 1533-position model. The record is from RNAcentral.
UACGUAGGGGGCUAGCGUUGUCCGGAAUCAUUGGGCGUAAAGCGCGUGUAGGCGGCCCGGUAAGUCCGCUGUGAAAGUCGGGGGCUCAACCCUCGGAUGCCGGUGGAUACUGUCGGGCUCGAGUACGGAAGAGGCGAGUGGAAUUCCUGGUGUAGCGGUGAAAUGCGCAGAUAUCAGGAGGAACACCAAUUGCGAAGGCAGCUCGCUGGGACGUGACUGACGCUGAGACGCGAAAGCGUGGGGAGCAAACAGG